This 296-nucleotide long non-coding RNA is filed under the name Homo sapiens (human). RNAcentral describes it as "non-protein coding lnc-STX6-8:3". Lineage: Eukaryota; Metazoa; Chordata; Mammalia; Primates; Hominidae. The record is from RNAcentral.
AGACCAGGCCCGUGGGGAGUGAAUGUUCGGGACGGUGCUCGAGAGCGCUACUGUUUGGAGUUACAGAUUCUGGCUUGUGCGAUGGCUUGCCGGAACCAAAGCGAACAAAAUAUUCGAACUUUCUUCCGAACACGGUGGUGGACUCUGUUCUGCCAUAAAGUCCUGAUCCUUCCCUGAUCGACUCCGCCCUCACCAGCCACACCACCGUUUCCAGGCCGGCCACACCUGUAAGCGACCCCCCUCAACCCUGGCAAAAAUAGAGAUGGUGGCCAUACGCGGCGGAGGACACCCCUGGA